GCAAGCUUGAGUCUCGUAGAGGGGGGUAGAAUUCCAGGUGUAGCGGUGAAAUGCGUAGAGAUCUGGAGGAAUACCGGUGGCGAAGGCGGCCCCCUGGACGAAGACUGACGCUCAGGUGCGAAAGCGUGGGGAGCAAACAGGAUUAGAUACCCUGGUAGUCCACGCCGUAAACGAUGUCGACUUGGAGGUUGUGCCCUUGAGGCGUGGCUUCCGGAGCUAACGCGUUAAGUCGACCGCCUGGGGAGUACGGCCGCAAGGUUAAAACUCAAAUGAAUUGACGGGGGCCCGCACAAGCGGUGGAGCAUGUGGUUUAAUUCGAUGCAACGCGAAGAACCUUACCUGGUCUUGACAUCCACGGAAGUUUUCAGAGAUGAGAAUGUGCCUUCGGGAACCGUGAGACAGGUGCUGCAUGGCUGUCGUCAGCUCGUGUUGUGAAAUGUUGGGUUAAGUCCCGCAACGAGCGCAACCCUUAUCCUUUGUUGCCAGCGGUCCGGCCGGGAACUCAAAGGAGACUGCCAGUGAUAAACUGGAGGAAGGUGGGGAUGACGUCAAGUCAUCAUGGCCCUUACGACCAGGGCUACACACGUGCUACAAUGGCGCAUACAAAGAGAAGCGACCUCGCGAGAGCAAGCGGACCUCAUAAAGUGCGUCGUAGUCCGGAUUGGAGUCUGCAACUCGACUCCAUGAAGUCGGAAUCGCUAGUAAUCGUGGAUCAGAAUGCCACGGUGAAUACGUUCCCGGGCCUUGUACACACCGCCCGUCACACCAUGGGAGUGGGUUGCAAAAGAAGUAGGUAGCUUAACCUUCGGGAGGGCGCUUACCACUUUGUGAUUCAUGACUGGGGUGAAGUCGUAACAAGGUAACCGUAGGGGAACCUGCGGUUGGAUCACCUCCUUACCUUAAAGAAGC
RNAcentral lists this ribosomal RNA (909 nucleotides) under Escherichia coli. RNAcentral describes it as "bacterial SSU rRNA". It matches the Rfam family "Bacterial small subunit ribosomal RNA", at positions 636 to 1533 of the family's 1533-position model. Lineage: Bacteria; Pseudomonadati; Pseudomonadota; Gammaproteobacteria; Enterobacterales; Enterobacteriaceae. RNAcentral also lists the same sequence under 1 other name. The record is from RNAcentral.